UGACCAGACACAUCACACCCGCCUUCUAGAAGCCCUCCCUCACAAACCGGAUCAACUGCUAUGAUAAAGCUCCACCCCACUAAAAGGAAUGUCACUUCUGAGCAACGUGGGUGAGGAAUCAGCAGCCGAAGUAGCAGCAAGCUGGAAAGGAUGGAUGCUUCUGGAAGCCACCUCAGAGACCAACCACAGCGGAUGGGCCCUCCUUAGCACAGAGCUACUUUUAGCCCAUUGUUCUACUGUGGGGAACAGAGGGAAACCCAGGGAACGAAACAAACAGUGUCACCUGCCUUCUGUAGUAAUAGUAACCAGUGUCCACUACCAUUCCUUGAGGGCUUACAAUGGCUUCUGGUUGGGAGAAAGAUGGGAAGAGGAGGACAUUCAAGAAGAUCAGAGACGUCUGGGGUGUGCAGAAGUAUUUUUCCUUCUUAUUUUCCUGUAUUCAAUAGGUAACACCAUGGUGUGUGGCUUUUCUGGGCAGCCUGCAAAUGUCAUUGCUAGUGACAACAUUUUUCUGCAGGAAAACAUAUUCCAGCUUUUAAUCAUCUUUAGAAUAAACCCAUUUAUAAGCAGUAUAUUGGGAGUGAAAGCUGCCCAGGGAGAUAAAAAACAAUGAAUUUUUUUCUUUCAAA
Long non-coding RNA from Homo sapiens (human), 629 nucleotides. Lineage: Eukaryota; Metazoa; Chordata; Mammalia; Primates; Hominidae. The record is from Ensembl.